GCCGACUUAGCUCACUAGGUAGAGCAACUGACGUGUAAUCCGUAGGUCACCCGUUCGAUACCGGUAGUCGGCACCC
Molecule: transfer RNA, 76 nt
Filed under: Enterobacter cloacae
Lineage: Bacteria; Pseudomonadati; Pseudomonadota; Gammaproteobacteria; Enterobacterales; Enterobacteriaceae
Description: tRNA-Thr
Rfam family: tRNA
About the family: Transfer RNA (tRNA) molecules are approximately 80 nucleotides in length. Their secondary structure includes four short double-helical elements and three loops (D, anti-codon, and T loops).
Source: RNAcentral